RNAcentral lists this transfer RNA (68 nucleotides) under Marmota monax (woodchuck). RNAcentral describes it as "tRNA.Ala". The record is from RNAcentral. Lineage: Eukaryota; Metazoa; Chordata; Mammalia; Rodentia; Sciuridae.
GGUUUGUGGCUCAGUGGUAGAGUGCUUGGCUAGCAUGUGUGAGGCACUGGGUUCAAUCCUCAGCACCA